UUUCUAGGAGUUCGCUGUUGCUGUUGCAGGCUUGAAUGGUCCUCUGUGUCCUGCUCUGAGAUCUGCUGUUGGGUGCAUUGAGGGGACCUCAGGAAGCUCUGAGAUUUAGACAUGGAUGCAGUGACUUUUGACGAUGUGCAUGUGAACUUCACUAAAGAAGAAUGGAAUUUGCUGGAUCCUUCCCAGAUGAAUCUCUACAAAGAUGUUAUGUUGGACACCUACUGGAACCUUACUUCUAUAGGCUACAAAUGGGAAGACCAUCAUAUUGAAGAACCAUGUCAAAGUUCUCAAAGACAUACAAGUUCUCUCUCUUUCAGCUCCAGUCUGCCUCCCAGGUGUACUCUGUUUCUUGUGAGCCUAGGGUCGGCUCCCAACACUUGUGAAUGAAGUCAAGUUGGAAAACCCUUUACAUGCCACAGUAGUCUCUGAAUACCUAAAGGAACACAUACAAGAGAGAAACCUUAUCAAUAUAACUAAUGUGGUAAAGCCUUGCAUGUCCUAAUCAUAUUUAAAUGUAUGAAAGUAUUUAUAGUAGAUGUAAACUGUAUUAAUUUGAAUAUGCUUGGCCCUAAGCAGUGGCACUAUUAGUGGGUGUGUCUUGUAG
Molecule: long non-coding RNA, 604 nt
Filed under: Mus musculus (house mouse)
Lineage: Eukaryota; Metazoa; Chordata; Mammalia; Rodentia; Muridae
Description: predicted gene 7762
Source: RNAcentral